Molecule: ribosomal RNA, 373 nt
Filed under: uncultured bacterium
Lineage: Bacteria
Description: bacterial SSU rRNA
Rfam family: Bacterial small subunit ribosomal RNA
Source: RNAcentral
GACGAACGCUGGCGGCGUGCUUAACACAUGCAAGUCGAGCGGUAAGGCCCUUUCGGGGUACACGAGCGGCGAACGGGUGAGUAACACGUGGGUGACCUGCCCUCAGCUCUGGGAUAAGCCUGGGAAACCGGGUCUAAUACUGGAUAUGACUCCAUGACGCAUGUUGUGGGGUGGAAAGCCUUGUGCGGCUGAGGAUGGGCCCGCGGCCUAUCAGCUUGUUGGUGGGGUGANGGCCUACCAAGGCGACGACGGGUAGCCGGCCUGAGAGGCGACCGGCCACACUGGGACUGAGACACGGCCCAGACUCCUACGGGAGGCAGCAGUGGGGAAUCUUGCGCAAUGGGCGAAAGCCUGACGCAGCGACGCCGCGUGA